GAGGGAGCUUGCUCCUGGAUUCAGCGGCGGACGGGUGAGUAAUGCCUAGGAAUCUGCCUGGUAGUGGGGGAUAACGUUCCGAAAGGAACGCUAAUACCGCGUACGUCCUACGGGAGAAAGCAGGGGACCUUCGGGCCUUGCGCUAUCAGAUGAGCCUAGGUCGGAUUAGCUAGUUGGUGAGGUAAUGGCUCACCAAGGCGACGAUCCGUAACUGGUCUGAGAGGAUGAUCAGUCACACUGGAACUGAGACACGGUCCAGACUCCUACGGGAGGCAGCAGUGGGGAAUAUUGGACAAUGGGCGAAAGCCUGAUCCAGCCAUGCCGCGUGUGUGAAGAAGGUCUUCGGAUUGUAAAGCACUUUAAGUUGGGAGGAAGGGCUGUAGGCUAAUAUCCUGCGGUUUUGACGUUACCAACAGAAUAAGCACCGGCUAACUUCGUGCCAGCAGCCGCGGUAAUACGAAGGGUGCAAGCGUUAAUCGGAAUUACUGGGCGUAAAGCGCGCGUAGGUGGUUCGUUAAGUUGGAUGUGAAAGCCCCGGGCUCAACCUGGGAACUGCAUCCAAAACUGGCGAGCUAGAGUACGGUAGAGGGUAGUGGAAUUUCCUGUGUAGCGGUGAAAUGCGUAGAUAUAGGAAGGAACACCAGUGGCGAAGGCGACUACCUGGACUGAUACUGACACUGAGGUGCGAAAGCGUGGGGAGCAAACAGGAUUAGAUACCCUGGUAGUCCACGCCGUAAACGAUGUCAACUAGCCGUUGGAAUCCUUGAGAUUUUAGUGGCGCAGCU
RNAcentral lists this ribosomal RNA (785 nucleotides) under Ectopseudomonas oleovorans. RNAcentral describes it as "bacterial SSU rRNA". It matches the Rfam family "Bacterial small subunit ribosomal RNA", at positions 72 to 853 of the family's 1533-position model. The record is from RNAcentral. Lineage: Bacteria; Pseudomonadati; Pseudomonadota; Gammaproteobacteria; Pseudomonadales; Pseudomonadaceae.